CGAGCCGGCGGAGGUCGCGGUGAGCGCGACGGUGCUCCGGUCGACGGCGCUGCUGGGCGGCACCAACCCGGUGCAAGAGGGCGGGCCGCAGGAGGAAGGCGGGGCGGUGUGGUUCCGACCGGCGGC
This 126-nucleotide small nucleolar RNA is filed under the name Dichanthelium oligosanthes. RNAcentral's name for it is "Small nucleolar RNA Z206". It matches the Rfam family "Small nucleolar RNA Z206". Rfam says of the family: Z206 is a member of the C/D class of snoRNA which contain the C (UGAUGA) and D (CUGA) box motifs. Most of the members of the box C/D family function in directing site-specific 2'-O-methylation of substrate RNAs. Lineage: Eukaryota; Viridiplantae; Streptophyta; Magnoliopsida; Poales; Poaceae. The record is from Rfam by way of RNAcentral.